GACGAACGCUGGCGGCGUGCUUAACACAUGCAAGUCGAACGGUAAGGCCCUUCGGGGUACACGAGUGGCGAACGGGUGAGUAACACGUGGGUGAUCUGCCCUGCACUUCGGGAUAAGCCUGGGAGACUGGGUCUAAUACCGGAUAGGACUCCUGGCUUCAUGGUUGGGGGUGGAAAGCUUUUGCGGUGUGGGAUGGGCCCGCGGCCUAUCAGCUUGUUGGUGGGGUAAUGGCCUACCAAGGCGACGACGGGUAGCCGGCCGGAGAGGGUGGCCGGUCAGACGGGGACGGAGAUACGGCCCAGACUCCUACGGGAGGCAGCAGGGGGGAAUAUUGCACAAUGGGCGCAAGCCUGAUGCAGCGACGCCGCGUGAGGGAUGACGGCCUUCGGGUUGUAAACCUCUUUCAGCUAUGACGAAGCGCAAGUGACGGUAGUAGCAGAAGAAGGACCGGCCAACUACGUGCCAGCCGCCGCCGUAA
This 478-nucleotide ribosomal RNA is filed under the name uncultured bacterium. RNAcentral describes it as "partial 16S ribosomal RNA". It matches the Rfam family "Bacterial small subunit ribosomal RNA", at positions 28 to 523 of the family's 1533-position model. The record is from RNAcentral.